RNAcentral lists this ribosomal RNA (253 nucleotides) under uncultured bacterium. RNAcentral describes it as "partial 16S ribosomal RNA". It matches the Rfam family "Bacterial small subunit ribosomal RNA", at positions 524 to 776 of the family's 1533-position model. The record is from RNAcentral.
UACGUAGGGUGCAAGCGUUGUCCGGAAUUAUUGGGCGUAAAGAGCUCGUAGGCGGUCUGUCGCGUCGGCUGUGAAAACCCGGAGCUCAACUCCGGGCCUGCAGUCGAUACGGGCAAACUGGAGUGUUGCAGGGGAGACUGGAAUUCCUGGUGUAGCGGUGAAAUGCGCAGAUAUCAGGAGGAACACCGGUGGCGAAGGCGGGUCUCUGGGCCGAAACUGACGCUGAGGAGCGAAAGCGUGGGGAGCGAACAGG